CUUGUAGGUUAUAAAAUUGGGAGUCGGACCUGCCCGGUGAAUUUUUUUAACGGCCGCGGUACUCUGACCGUGCAAAGGUAGCAUAAUCAUUUGCCUUAUAAUUGAAGGCUAGUAUGAAUGGUUUGACAAGAAUAUGGCUGUCUCUUUAUAAUUUGAUAGAAUUUUAUUUUCAGGUGAAAAAGCCUUGAUUAAAUUAAUAGACAAGAAGACCCUAUCGAGCUUGAAGGAAUUUGAUGGGUAAAAAAAUAAGCCUUAUUGGUGGAGAAAAGGGGUGAACUGUUGAAUAUUUUGGUUGGGGCGACUGAGGAACAGGAAAAGCUUCCUUUGUGGUGUAAUACAUACAGGUGUUGAUCCAAAAGUGUUGAUUAAAGGAAUUAGUUACCGUAGGGAUAACAGCAUUAUCCUUUUUGAGAGUUCAUAUCGAAAAAGGGGUUUGUGACCUCGAUGUUGGACCAGAAUGUCCUGAAGAUGCAGAAGUCUUCAAGGGUUGGUCUGUUCGACCAUUAAAAUUCUA
Molecule: ribosomal RNA, 514 nt
Filed under: Terebra subulata
Lineage: Eukaryota; Metazoa; Mollusca; Gastropoda; Neogastropoda; Terebridae
Description: partial 16S ribosomal RNA
Rfam family: Bacterial large subunit ribosomal RNA
Source: RNAcentral